GUUGUUGUUUGGCGUCGAGAAGAAGCUUUUCGAGGUUCAUGAAGACAUUUUUCUCAUAACCAACAAUAUUUUUGUAGGAGCCGUAAUCAGACGCUGGGGAGGGGGGAGAAGAGAGGAAAUGCUUGCGUAAAGUUAUAAGAUACAUAUUAUUUGCAGUUCGGGCAAAUGAAUAUAGAUUUGAAUCUUUCUUGUGGAAGUGAUGGCGGCGAAGAUAGUUUCUGUGGCAGUACGGAUAUUGGGGCACUUCGUAAAGAUCGGCGCGGAAGUGAGUCUGGAAAAUCCAAAAAACACAUUAUAGAGUUGAAUAGCUCUUCUGAUAAAAAGGAAUCCGAUGAGGAAUCUAAAGAUUGUAGAGAUGGCGAAGAUGAUGAAGAUGUUGUUAGUUCCAAUAACUUUGAUAAUGGUGAAUAUGGUGAUACGGCAGCAAGUGUGUGUUCCGUGCAAGUUUCUCGAAAAUUAGUGGAAGGUUUGAUAAAUGUUAGAUGUUAUGUUGACACUUUGGAAAAGGUACAUGUGUUGUAUCGUGAGUAUGCACGAUUGACGGGCUUCUCUGUUAGAAAAUGAAGUCAAUGUUAUUUCCUUAACAGGUUGUGUGUUCGAGCGAAGAUCUAUCAUUGUUCAUGUGAGGGUUAUCCUGAUAAUAAAGCAUCCAUUGGAAAAGUAUCGGUAUGCAAAAAACAGUCAUAUAGGUGCAAUUGCAGGCUAAGCUACGUGUUUAUCAAGAUGAUGUUGAAUCAC
Salvia miltiorrhiza (redroot sage) is the source of this 738-nucleotide long non-coding RNA. RefSeq lists it as uncharacterized. The transcript has 2 exons. The record is from RefSeq and is a predicted model, not a curated record. NCBI's taxonomy places the organism in Eukaryota, Viridiplantae, Streptophyta, Magnoliopsida, Lamiales, Lamiaceae.